This 657-nucleotide ribosomal RNA is filed under the name uncultured Hyphomicrobiales bacterium. RNAcentral describes it as "bacterial SSU rRNA". It matches the Rfam family "Bacterial small subunit ribosomal RNA", at positions 215 to 889 of the family's 1533-position model. Lineage: Bacteria; Pseudomonadati; Pseudomonadota; Alphaproteobacteria; Hyphomicrobiales. The record is from RNAcentral.
UCGGCUUAAGAUGAGCCCGCGUUGGAUUAGCUGGUUGGUGGGGUAAAGGCCUACCAAGGCGACGAUCCAUAGCUGGUCUGAGAGGAUGAUCAGCCACACUGGGACUGAGACACGGCCCAGACUCCUACGGGAGGCAGCAGUGGGGAAUAUUGGACAAUGGGCGCAAGCCUGAUCCAGCCAUGCCGCGUGAGUGAAGAAGGCCUUAGGGUUGUAAAGCUCUUUCACCGGUGAAGAUAAUGACGGUAGCCGGAGAAGAAGCCCCGGCUAACUUCGUGCCAGCAGCCGCGGUAAUACGAAGGGGGCUAGCGUUGUUCGGAUUUACUGGGCGUAAAGCGCGCGUAGGCGGAUAGAUAAGUCAGAGGUGAAAUCCCGGGGCUCAACCCCGGAAUUGCCUUUGAUACUGUUUAUCUUGAGUGCAGAAGAGGUAAGUGGAAUUCCGAGUGUAGAGGUGAAAUUCGUAGAUAUUCGGAGGAACACCAGUGGCGAANGCGGCUUACUGGUCUGCAACUGACGCUGAGGCGCGAAAGCGUGGGGAGCANACAGNNUUAGAUACCCUGGUAGUCCACGCUGUAAACGAUGGAAGCCAGCCGUCGGCAAACUUAUUUGUCGGUGGCGCAGCUAACGCAUUAAGCUUCCCGCCUGGGGGAGUACGGUCGC